Ostrea edulis (European flat oyster) is the source of this 697-nucleotide long non-coding RNA. RefSeq lists it as uncharacterized. The transcript has 3 exons. The record is from RefSeq and is a predicted model, not a curated record. NCBI's taxonomy places the organism in Eukaryota, Metazoa, Mollusca, Bivalvia, Ostreida, Ostreidae.
AGUUCACCCUUUCCCAACCCUGGAAAAAAAUGUCCACGCAGAGGAAACGAUGGCGUCAUUUGUUUAGAAAACCACGAGCAGCAGAACAGUGCAGAAAAUUAGAGCGAUUAUUACAUUCCGUAAAAACUGAACGAACACAGAAGCAUCCCUGUUCUAGCCAUUUCACCAUAUGAAAGGUGAAGAUAACAAACAGUGAUCCAAGUUUUAAGAAAGCCAAGAGGUUGAUAACAAUGACUGUACUCCUUAUGUUGACUGGAAUUAUUGACUGGUAUGCAGUAAAACAGCUGAGGGAAAGUUCAACUAUUAAUUCAUUUCAGCCGGGUAGUCUGGCAGUAUUAUAGGUAAUCUGGCAGUAAUGGCAUGACAUCAUGAGAGCUAACCAACAUGGUUAAUGAUGUAUAGAGACACUGUCUGAAGACCUCGAGGGAAAGGCAAGGAAAAUGGAUGAUCCACUUCCUAUAUCCCUGUAAAAAAGAGGAAGGAUACCACAAUAUUGACGAUAAAUUAUUGUCAAUUCAAGAAGCAAAGUUGUGAAAAUGCAAAAAUAAUAUCUAAUGUAUUUGUUAGAAAAAUAUCAUUAACUGCAUAUAUAUUUCUUGACCUUAUUCAGGAAUACAUCAAAUGUAGUCAUUCAUAUUAAAACUGAAUCUAUGAAUUUUCAUAACUUUUAUCAAUAAAGUUUACUAUAUUUAUUUUA